GAGCCUAAUCCGGACGAGAUGCCCGCCAUUGGGUCGUGGUGUUCUUUAGCACGCAGACGGACAACAUCAUGGUGACCGCAACAGGAGGACGAUGUUGGCCGCAGUUGGUGGAGGAUGAUGACUGCCCAACGACCAUCAGCAUGCUGGUCGUGGGCACGACGGAUCCUUCCCUGCUCGCCGCCGCCCUGACCGCCUAUUCCUGCCCUGCUCGCCGUCACCAUCGGAGCUCAUUGUCAAGAGGCGGCCGCUCGGCCGCUUGGGAGGAAGAGAAGAGAUGAGGGAUUGGGGAGGAGCGAGGAGGCAGGGAUUGGAGGAGGAGGGACCAAUCCCAAUCUAGGGUUUUCACCGCUCCAUACAAGCGACGACUGAACGAGCGACGCGGCCCAGCGCCCGCCCCUGCCUCUGUCUACCGGUCGCACACGAAAAUGGUCCCAGACAUCAUAGACUGUGAACAAGCUCUCUUUUAUAGGAUUGGAUCCUGGGUUGGUGUUCGCCGUUUGUUGCCAUGGGAUGGGCAGAGGCAUGAAUGCUAAAUUUCCACCACUGUCGGUUGGUCAGGCUAGAGGUCAAGGUCCAGUUUGUCUUUGUUAGGGUCAUGGGCUAGGUCAGAUUGUUUGUCUCCACUUAGGUAUGUUUAUUGACUUAUCCCGCCUAUAUUAUUGCUGUUUUGUUUUGAUUGCCGUUUGGUUAUGCUCGCAGGCUCGUCUCUGCGGUCCUGACUGCCUCCUUGUGUAACGAGGACAGAAUUGUUGCUGGCCAUGUUUGACAUGAUUCCCCUCAUGUUUUUAGCAUUGAUUUAAUGGAUUGGAAAAAUUGUAUGUUGAAAGAGUAAAAUUAAAGUGAUGUGUGGUGGGAGUACAAGGGAGAAGCUCAAUUGAACUAAGAGAGCUGCAUGUAUGCUAUGAUUGUUUUGUUCUUAUGCACCACUUUCCACUUGAA
Long non-coding RNA from Lolium perenne, 939 nucleotides. RefSeq lists it as uncharacterized. The record is from RefSeq and is a predicted model, not a curated record. Lineage: Eukaryota; Viridiplantae; Streptophyta; Magnoliopsida; Poales; Poaceae.